UAGCUAGAAGAGGUCAACUGGAGAAGUGUGUGUAUGACAUCACCAGGUCAAAGGCAUAAAGUCUUGGCUACAAUUAUUUCACAUUCUGGGCUCCAUUUACUUUUGAGAUACCCCAGACACACAUCCAUGAUUCCCUUCUUUUAUCCAAGGCAUUGAUAGUAUUAAACCGAGGAUGGACCAGGGACCUCGGGACUCAAGACUGCAGUCUGCCACAUCCUAGUGUGCCA
Erpetoichthys calabaricus (reedfish) is the source of this 227-nucleotide long non-coding RNA. RefSeq lists it as uncharacterized. NCBI's taxonomy places the organism in Eukaryota, Metazoa, Chordata, Cladistia, Polypteriformes, Polypteridae. The record is from RefSeq and is a predicted model, not a curated record. The transcript is spliced from 3 exons.